This 253-nucleotide ribosomal RNA is filed under the name uncultured bacterium. RNAcentral's name for it is "partial 16S ribosomal RNA". It matches the Rfam family "Bacterial small subunit ribosomal RNA", at positions 524 to 776 of the family's 1533-position model. The record is from RNAcentral.
UACGGGGGGGGCAAGCGUUGUUCGGAAUUACUGGGCGUAAAGGGCUCGUAGGUGGCCGACUAAGUCAGACGUGAAAUCCCUCAGCUUAACUGGGGAACUGCGUCUGAUACUGGAUGGCUUGAGUUCGGGAGAGGGAUGCGGAAUUCCAGGUGUAGCGGUGAAAUGCGUAGAUAUCUGGAGGAACACCGGUGGCGAAGGCGGCAUCCUGGACCGACACUGACACUGAGGAGCGAAAGCCAGGGGAGCAAACGGG